GGGCCUGUAGCUCAGCAUGGUAGAGCAGCGGACUUUUAAUCCGUUUGUCGAGGGUUCGAAUCCCUCCGGGCCCA
RNAcentral lists this transfer RNA (74 nucleotides) under Candidatus Aenigmarchaeota archaeon CG_4_10_14_0_8_um_filter_37_24. RNAcentral describes it as "tRNA-Lys". It matches the Rfam family "tRNA". From Rfam's summary of the family: Transfer RNA (tRNA) molecules are approximately 80 nucleotides in length. The record is from RNAcentral. RNAcentral also lists the same sequence under 4 other names. Lineage: Archaea; Nanobdellati; Candidatus Aenigmatarchaeota.